GCGCCCGACCCCGGGAGGGUGGCGGAGAGGAGCGGACGCUUCCGUUCGGUGUCCGCGCAUCCUCCCCGAGCUGCCGAGCGUCCGCUGGGUCGAUGCUGGGUUGGGUGACCCCCGAGUGGAGCGAUGCGAAGGUGCUUCCUGUUUUCCCCACCACCUUCGGCGUUUUGAAGAGGCCCUGCUAAGGCUUGGAGUCUGGAUCGGACGCCAGUGGGAGCUGCAGGGUGGGACGCUUGAGGGCUUGACCCUGCCUAGAUCCUCCUUACCAAGAAAGGGCUGAAAAGAGAGGGCAUCUGGCAUGCUUUUUGCCACUUCUGUUUCUAGGUUAUGUACUUCAUGGAAUAUCUGGGCAUUGCUUAGAAACCUGUGUCAUAAAUUGGCUUUGGGCAAGAGGCUUUGAGUUGGAAGAAAAGGUGGAAAGAAAGUGCUUGGGGGCGGAGUUCAGGGAUUUGACGGGAUUGCCAGCGCUUCCAGGCCGUGUCAUCCAAGACCAGUGUGGUUGUGGGCACAUUAGCUUGGAGACAGUGGCAGCCUCUUGGGACUAACAUCUUUCUGGAUGUUGUUUGCUGCCAGUUCUUGAGUAUUGUUUCUUAUUUGGCACAGAGGAGAAUUCUCUCAACAAACGUUUUCGACUGUUUAUUGAGUCCCUUAAAAAACUGUCCAUUUAAUAAACAUUUGUGAUCUGUGAUUUGCAUUGAACGAGAUGCUGGAAGUAUGAGGAUAAAUAGGAAAUGAUCACCUUUCUCAAGGAGCUCUCCUGCAGUUUUCACUUCAAUAACUUGGACACGCCUGAAAGGGUUGUCCCACACGAAAAGAGAGAAAAGGAUAAUGAGGUUCUUUUGAUGCUGUAGUUUUUCCUGGGAAGACUAGGAAGGACUCUGAAUUUCAAAAGAGGUGAUUUCUCGCAUGAGCAUCUCUUCCAUCCUCCCUCCCUCCACAAGCUACAGUGAUGCAUGUAGCAGACACGGCACCUACAGAGUACGUGGUCCAAGCCAAUAAAGCUCAACAAAACCCAAGCAAAGAUGGAGCUUAUGGCCCUUACCCUUUGGAAAUAUCCCCAGAUUGGUUUAGAUUGAACCUGAAUUUGAAUAAAGAGAAGCAAAAUGUAGGGGGAAGAAGGAUUAUAAAAUAUUGGGAUUGAUAUUGGUAUCAGUGAUUUGAAGUUGAUUUCCAAGCUAUUCUGUUCAGUCAGAGGCUUUCUUAGCCUUUAACGGGAGAAGAGAAAUACGGUCAUGCGCUGUAUAACAAGGUUUCCAUCAACACCGCUCUCACGUACAAUCCCCUGAGACUACAGUGGGGCUGAGAAAUUCCUAUCACCUGGUGACAUCUUCAUGAUCCUGACCCUGUGUAGGCUUAGGC
Molecule: long non-coding RNA, 1356 nt
Filed under: Homo sapiens (human)
Lineage: Eukaryota; Metazoa; Chordata; Mammalia; Primates; Hominidae
Description: lncAB535.1
Source: RNAcentral